GAAUGUCCUAGGGGGUAUUGCACCUACCGAAGACUAUCAAACUCCGAAUGCCGUCAUCUUAUACUUGGGAGUCAGACUGUGGGUGAUAAGAUUCAUAGUCGAAAGGGCAACAGCCCAGAUCGUCAGCUAAGGUCCCUAAAUGUAAGUUAAGUGGUAAAGGAUGUGGGAUUGCACAGACAACCAGGAUGUUGGCUUAGAAGCAGCCACUCAUUCAAAGAGUGCGUAAUAGCUCACUGGUCGAGUGAUCCUGCGCCGAAGAUUUCCGGGGCUAAAACUUACUACCGAAGCUACGGCAUCAGUAAUGAUGGGUAGGGGAGCUUCCCAUACAGGUUGAAGCAUGACCGUAAGGACAUGUGGACAGUAUGGGAGUGAGAAUGUUGGCAUGAGUAGCGAGAUGUGGGUGAGAAUCCCACAGGCCGUAAACCCAAGGUUUCCAGGGGAAGGUUCGUCCGCCCUGGGUUAGUCGGGACCUAAGCUGAGGCCGAAAGGCGUAGGUGAUGGACAACAGGUUGAUAUUCCUGUACUACCGAUAACCGUUUGAGAGAAGGGAUGACACAGUAGGAUAAGCUAAGCACACUGUUGGUUAUGUGUGCCCAAGCAUUGAGGCAGUCAAAGUAGGUAAAUCCGCUUUGAUAAUGCUGGGAUGUGAUGGGGAGCGAAAUUUAGUAGCGAAGUAGCUGAUUUCACACUGUCAAGAAAAGUCUCUAUCGAGGUUAAAGGUACCCGUACCGCAAACCGACACAGGUGGGUGAGGAGAGUAUCCUAAGGCCAGCGAGAGAACUGUUGUUAAGGAACUCGGCAAAAUGACCCCGUAACUUAGGGAUAAGGGGUGCCACCAUCAGGUGGCCGCAGAGAAUAGGCCCAAGCGACUGUUUACCAAAAACAUAGGUUUCUGCUAAGUCGCAAGACGAUGUAUAGGAGCUGACGCCUGCCCGGUGCUGGAAGGUUAAGGGGAUCUGUUAGAGUAAUCGAAGCAGUGAACUUAAGCCCCAGUAAACGGCGGCCGUAACUAUAACGGUCCUAAGGUAGCGAAAUUCCUUGUCGGGUAAGUUCCGACCCGCACGAAAGGCGUAACGAUUUGGGCACUGUCUCAACAACAGACUCGGUGAAAUUGUAAUUCCGGUGAAGAUGCCGGAUACCUGCGACAGGACGGAAAGACCCCAUGGAGCUUUACUGUAGCUUGACAUUGGGUCUUGGUACUACAUGUACAGGAUAGGUGGGAGGCUUUGAAACCAGGACGCCAGUUUUGGCGGAGCCAUCCUUGGGAUACCACCCUUGUAGUACUGGGACUCUAACCAUAGGCCAUGAAUCUGGUCUUGGGACACUGUCAGGUGGGCAGUUUGACUGGGGCGGUCGCCUCCCAAAAGGUAACGGAGGCGCUCAAAGGUUCUCUCAGUACGGUCGGAAAUCGUACGUAGAGUGUAAAGGCAAAAGAGAGCUUGAUUGCAAGACAUACAGGUCGAGCAAGGAUGAAAAUCGGACUUAGUGAUCCGGUGGUUCUGCGUGGAAGGGCCAUCGCUCAACGGAUAAAAGCUACCCUGGGGAUAACAGGCUUAUCUCCCCCAAGAGUCCACAUCGACGGGGAGGUUUGGCACCUCGAUGUCGGCUCAUCACAUCCUGGGGCUGUAGUAGGUCCCAAGGGUUGGGCUGUUCGCCCAUUAAAGUGGUACGCGAGCUGGGUUCAGAACGUCGUGAGACAGUUCGGUCCCUAUCCGUCGCAGGCGUAGGAAAUUUGAGAAGACCUGUCCUUAGUACGAGAGGACCGGGAUGGACGUACCUCUGGUGUACCAGUUGUCCUGCCAAGGGCAUGGCUGGGUAGCUAUGUACGGAAUGGAUAAGCGCUGAAAGCAUCUAAGCGCGAAGCCAACUUCAAGAUAAGAUUUCCCACCGCAAGGGUAAGACCCCAGAAAGACUAUCUGGUUGAUAGGUCGAAGGUGUAAGUGCAGCAAUGUAUUUAGCUUAUCGAUACUAAUAGGUCGAGGACUUGACCAA
This 1992-nucleotide ribosomal RNA is filed under the name Clostridioides difficile F548. RNAcentral's name for it is "bacterial LSU rRNA". It matches the Rfam family "Bacterial large subunit ribosomal RNA", at positions 912 to 2925 of the family's 2925-position model. Lineage: Bacteria; Bacillati; Bacillota; Clostridia; Peptostreptococcales; Peptostreptococcaceae. The record is from RNAcentral.